RNAcentral lists this ribosomal RNA (334 nucleotides) under uncultured soil bacterium. Its description in RNAcentral is "bacterial SSU rRNA". It matches the Rfam family "Bacterial small subunit ribosomal RNA", at positions 26 to 363 of the family's 1533-position model. The record is from RNAcentral.
AGAUUGAACGCUGGCGGCAGGCCUAACACAUGCAAGUCGAGCGGUAGAGAGGUGCUUGCAUCUCUUGAGAGCGGCGGACGGGUGAGUAAUGCCUAGGAAUCUGCCUAGUGGUGGGGGAUAACGUUCGGAAACGGACGCUAAUACCGCAUACGUCCUACGGGAGAAAGCGGGAGACCUUCGGGCCUCGCGCCAUUAGAUGAGCCUAGGUCGGAUUAGCUAGUUGGUGAGGUAAUGGCUCACCAAGGCGACGAUCCGUAACUGGUCUGAGAGGAUGAUCAGUCACACUGGAACUGAGACACGGUCCAGACUCCUACGGGAGCAGCAGCGGGGAAUA